GGAUGAACGCUAGCGGCAGGCCUAACACAUGCAAGUCGAGGGGUAGAGGAAGCUUGCUUCCUUGAGACCGGCGCACGGGUGCGUAACGCGUAUGCAAUCUACCUUGUACAGAGGGAUAGCCCAGAGAAAUUUGGAUUAAUACCUCAUAGUGUUAUCGAAUCGCAUGGUUUGAUAACUAAAGUUCCAACGGUACAAGAUGAGCAUGCGUCCCAUUAGCUAGUUGGUGUGGUAACGGCAUACCAAGGCAAUGAUGGGUAGGGGUCCUGAGAGGGAGAUCCCCCACACUGGUACCGAGACACGGACCAGACUCCUACGGGAGGCAGCAGUGAGGAAUAUUGGACAAUGGGCGCAAGCCUGAUCCAGCCAUGCCGCGUGCAGGAUGACGGUCCUAUGGAUUGUAAACUGCUUUUAUACAGGAAGAAACCCUACCACGUGUGGUAGAUUGACGGUACUGUAGGAAUAAGGAUCGGCUAACUCCGUGCCAGCAGCCGCGGUAAUACGGAGGAUCCAAGCGUUAUCCGGAAUCAUUGGGUUUAAAGGGUCCGUANGCGGUUUAAUAAGUCAGUGGUGAAAGCCCAUCGCUUAACGAUGGAACGGCCAUUGAUACUGUUAGACUUGAGUUAUUAGAAGUAACUAGAAUAUGUAGUGUAGCGGUGGAAUGCUUAGAUAUUACAUGGAAUACCAAUUGCGAAGGCAGGUUACUACUAAUAUAUUGACGCUGAUGGACGAAAGCGUGGGGAGCGAACAGGAUUAGAUACCCUGGUAGUCCACGCCGUAAACGAUGGAUACUAGCUGUUGGGCGCAAGCUCAGUGGCUAAGCGAAAGUGAUAAGUAUCCCACCUGGGGAGUACGUUCGC
This 857-nucleotide ribosomal RNA is filed under the name bacterium enrichment culture clone C_2011_0.5_m_Cu_3. Its description in RNAcentral is "bacterial SSU rRNA". It matches the Rfam family "Bacterial small subunit ribosomal RNA", at positions 27 to 889 of the family's 1533-position model. The record is from RNAcentral.